UACGUAGGGACCAAGCGUUGUCCGGAAUCAUUGGGCGUAAAGGGUGCGUAGGCGGCGGAGUAAGUUGGGUGUGAAACUCCCGGGGCGUUAACCUCGGAAUUGCAUUCAAUACUGCUUCGCUCGAGUACUGGAGAGGAGGCUGGAAUUUACGGUGUAGCAGUGAAAUGCGUAGAUAUCGUAAGGAAGGCCGGUGGCGAAAGCGAGCCUCUGGACAGUUACUGGACGCUGAUGCACGAAGGCCAGGGGAGCAAACGGG
Molecule: ribosomal RNA, 256 nt
Filed under: uncultured bacterium
Lineage: Bacteria
Description: partial 16S ribosomal RNA
Rfam family: Bacterial small subunit ribosomal RNA
Source: RNAcentral